RNAcentral lists this ribosomal RNA (510 nucleotides) under uncultured bacterium. Its description in RNAcentral is "partial 16S ribosomal RNA". It matches the Rfam family "Bacterial small subunit ribosomal RNA", at positions 28 to 507 of the family's 1533-position model. The record is from RNAcentral.
GACGAACGCUGGCGGCGUGCUUAACACAUGCAAGUCGAACGAAGAGCGACGGAAGCUUGCUUCUAUCAAUCUUAGUGGCGAACGGGUGAGUAACGCGUAAUCAACCUGCCCUUCAGAGGGGGACAACAGUUGGAAACGACUGCUAAUACCGCAUACGAUCUAACCUCGGCAUCGAGGAUAGAUGAAAGGUGGCCUCUACAUGUAAGCUAUCACUGAAGGAGGGAAUUGCGUCUGAUUAGCUAGUUGGAGGGGUAACGGCCCACCAAGGCGAUGAUCAGUAGCCGGUCUGAGAGGAUGAACGGCCACAUUGGGACUGAGACACGGCCCAGACUCCUACGGGAGGCAGCAGUGGGGAAUCUUCCGCAAUGGACGAAAGUCUGACGGAGCAACGCCGCGUGAGUGAUGACGGCCUUCGGGUUGUAAAGCUCUGUUAAUCGGGACGAAAGGCCUUCUUGCGAAUAGUGAGAAGGAUUGACGGUACCGGAAUAGAAAGCCACGGCUAACUACGUG